RNAcentral lists this ribosomal RNA (449 nucleotides) under uncultured bacterium. Its description in RNAcentral is "partial 16S ribosomal RNA". It matches the Rfam family "Bacterial small subunit ribosomal RNA", at positions 29 to 523 of the family's 1533-position model. The record is from RNAcentral.
AACGAACGCUGGCGGCAGGCCUAACACAUGCAAGUCGAACGCCCUAGCAAUAGGGAGUGGCAGACGGGUGAGUAACACGUGGGAACGUGCCCUUCGGUUCGGAAUAACUCAGGGAAACUUGAGCUAAUACCGGAUACGUGCGAGAGCAGAAAGAUUUAUCGCCGAAGGAUGGGCCCGCGUCCGAUUAGCUAGUUGGUGAGGUAAUGGCUCACCAAGGCUACGAGCGGUAGCUGGUCUGAGAGGAUGACCAGCCACACUGGGACUGAGACACGGCCCAGACUCCUGCGGGAGGCAGCAGUGGGGAAUAUUGGACAAUGGGCGCAAGCCUGAUCCAGCCAUGCCGCGUGAGUGAUGAAGGCCCUAGGGUUGUAAAGCUCUUUCGCCAGGGACGAUAAUGACGGUACCUGGAUAAGAAGCCCCGGCUAACUUCGUGCCAGCAGCCGCCGUAA